AACGAACGCUGGCGGCAGGCUUAACACAUGCAAGUCGAACGCACCUUUCGGGGUGAGUGGCAGACGGGUGAGUAACGCGUGGGAAUCUACCCUUCUCUACGGGAUAGCUCCGGGAAACUGGAAUUAAUACCGUAUACGUCCUGAGGGAGAACGAUUUAUCGGGGAAGGAUGAGCCCGCGUUGGAUUAGCUAGUUGGUGGGGUAAAGGCCUACCAAGGCGACGAUCCAUAGCUGGUCUAAGAGGAUGAUCAGCCACAUUGGGACUGAGACACGGCCCAAACUCCCACGGGAGGCAGCAGUGGGGAAUAUUGGACAAUGGGCGCAAGCCUGAUCCAGCCAUGCCGCGUGAGUGAUGAAGGCCCUAGGGUUGUAAAGCUCUUUCAGUGGGGACGAUAAUGACGGUACCCACAGAAGAAGCCCCGGCUAACUUCGUG
RNAcentral lists this ribosomal RNA (433 nucleotides) under uncultured bacterium. Its description in RNAcentral is "partial 16S ribosomal RNA". It matches the Rfam family "Bacterial small subunit ribosomal RNA", at positions 29 to 507 of the family's 1533-position model. The record is from RNAcentral.